AUGUCCCCAGAGCCGUCCCCACAGGGGUCUCACCCGGCCAGCAGGUGCUCCCCGGCCCCACCCUUCCCAAAAAACGCCUGGGAUCGUUCCCGGCAGGACAAAUCCCGCUGGGAUUGGGCACUUCAGGCUGGAAUGAGUCCGAAGGGAAGCACGGGAAAAGGAGCGGAGAUCCGGCAGGAUCCAUCGUGGCGCUCCAGCCGGCAUUCCCGAGGCUCUGGGCUUGGGAGAGGCGCCCUGGGAGGCACCGGGAGCAGGGAAUGGGGGAAUGUCCACCCUGGGAUGGACACAGGGAUAGAUCCUCAUCCCACAUUUCCAUGGGAAAGAGGGAGGGACGGGAAUGGGGUGGGGAUGGGGAUGGGGAUGGGGAUGGGAUGGGAACGGGGAUGGGAAUGGGGAUGGGAACGGGGAUGGGAAUGGGGAUGGGAAUGGGGAUGGGAAUGGGGAUGGGAAUGGGGAUGGGGAUGGGGAUGGGGAUGGGGAUGGGGAUGGGGAUGGGGAUGGGAACGGGGAUGGGAAUGGGGAUGGGAAUGGGGAUGGGAAUGGGGAUGGGGAUGGGGAUGGGAAUGGGGAUGGGAAUGGGGAUGGGGAUGGGGAUGGGGAUGGGGAUGGGGAUGGGGAUGGGAAUGGGAUGGGAAUGGGAUGGGAAUGGGGAUGGGAAUGGGGAUGGGAAUGGGGAUGGGGAUGGGGAUGGGGAUGGGGAUGGGAAUGGGGAUGGGGAUGGGAAUGGGGAUGGGGAUGGGGAUGGGGAUGGGAACAGGACUGGGAACGGGGACAGGGACGGGAAUGGGGAUGGGCUCCUCCCUCGCAGGGCCCGGCUCAGCCCGGGCAGGGUCGGUGCUCCAGGGGGGCCCCGCUGGCAUCAAUGCAGCUCCGGCUCCGGAUCUGGGAAGGGAAUGGGAAUCGGGAUCAAUGGGAUCAAUGGGAUCAAUGGGAUCAAUGGAAUCAAUGGCAUCAAUGGGUCAAUGGGAUGAAUGGGACCAAUGGGAUCAAUGGGAUCAAUGGGACCAAUGGGAUCAAUGGGGUCAGUGGGAUCAAUGGAAUCAAUGCGAUGAAUGGGACCAAUGGGACCAAUGGGAUCAAUGGGAUCAAUGGGAUCAAUGGGAUCAAUGGGACCAAUGGGAUCAAUGGGGUCAGUGGGAUCAAUGGGAUCAAUGGAAUCAAUGGGAUCAAUGGGACCAAUGGGACCAAUGGGACCAAUGGGAUCAAUGGGAUCAAUGGGAUGAAUGGGACCAAUGGAAUCAAUGCAAUCAAUGGGGUCAGUGGGAUCAAUGGAAUCAAUGGCAUCAAUGGAAUCAAUGGGAUGAAUGGGAUCAAUGGAAUCAAUGGCAUCAAUGGAAUCAAUGGGAUGAAUGGGAUCAAUGGGAACAAUGGGGUCAGUGGGAUCAAUGGGAUCAAUGGAAUCAAUGGGAUGAAUGGGAUCAGUGGGACCAAUGGGAUCACUGGGAUCAAUGGGAUCAAUGGGAUCAAUGGGACCAAUGGGAUCAAUGGGGUCAGUGGGAUCAAUGGGAUCAAUGGGACCAAUGGGAUCAAUGGGAUCAAUGGGAUGAAUGGGAUCAAUGGGACCAAUGGGAUCAAUGGGAUCGGCAGCAGCCUCAGGGAAAAGGACUGCUGGGCCCUCAUUAA
Long non-coding RNA from Corvus moneduloides (New Caledonian crow), 1623 nucleotides. NCBI's taxonomy places the organism in Eukaryota, Metazoa, Chordata, Aves, Passeriformes, Corvidae. The record is from Ensembl.